Papaver somniferum (opium poppy) is the source of this 677-nucleotide long non-coding RNA. RefSeq lists it as uncharacterized. The transcript has 5 exons. Lineage: Eukaryota; Viridiplantae; Streptophyta; Magnoliopsida; Ranunculales; Papaveraceae. The record is from RefSeq and is a predicted model, not a curated record.
UUUAGGAUUUUAUUGACUAACCUAUUUUAGGAUUUUAUCGACCAACCUAUUUUUUUGCUAUUUGUUUUGCACAUGUAGCAUUAAAAUUAUAAUCAGUUAGCAGUAAUGGCGGUCGUAACCGCUGCUCAUGAAAACUGGUAUUUUUAUUAAUCUUGCUAUCAAGAAAAUUAAGAAAAUUAAUCUUGAUACUUUUAUCUUUUAUGAGCGCUCUUUGAUUUUGACAAUUUUAUUUAAUUUUUGGUGGAUAGCUACAAAAUCAGAAAAUUAUAUAGCACGGGUUUUGAUGAAUUCGCGUGUGAUGACCUAGUUAAUUUAGGUCUACUAUCGGUGUUUCCUUUAGUGUUCAAGUUACCGACCAUAAGCGGUGCAGGUAUAUCGGUUGUUUUGCAUCUCAUUUGUGUUGGUUCUGGGGAGUGAGGAACCAUUUUCAAGGUGAUGGUCAUUGUUGUUGAUUUCCUUACUUCAGGUGAUAUCCCCUGCACUCAUGUGAAAGUCUACAUUGGACAUUUGUUGAAUCACCACAUUGAAGAAUCGACUUAGUUGACUGGCAUUGUAAGAUAUGUAAUUGAUAUUGCCAACGAAAAAUAUGCGCUCAUGGGUCUAUAAUAUAUAUUUAGCUUCUUGCUUUAUCCUGAUUUCAGCAGAUGCUAAGCGACGACAUCAUAAAUUCUGUAUGG